Molecule: long non-coding RNA, 378 nt
Organism: Amphiprion ocellaris (clown anemonefish)
Lineage: Eukaryota; Metazoa; Chordata; Actinopteri; Pomacentridae
Source: Ensembl
GAGCGGAUUGCGGUCGGCGGGUGAGUGCCGGCAGGUGAAGCGGAGUUCACGGCAGAAACACGGAGAGACAGAAACACCUGAGCGGGACACAAACCGAGACGAGAGGUCGGAGACAAAAAGUGAUUAGAAAGCCAAGGUUGUCAGGAUGUUCCCUCCUUCUGCUGCCGUUUCUGACACCCAGAGAGGAACUGCAAUGAGAGAAGGAAUCUGAUGCAUCAAGAAAAUCCAGACAAUCCCUUUGCAGUUGGAAGAGGAUGGGAUGUCCCGCGGAGCUUUUGUUUCCUGUGAUAGGAAACUUCAAUCACUUCAGCGCUCUGUUUUCAUUGGUCCACACAGUGUCUCAUGAAGACUCUCGAAGUGUCGUCUGAUUGGUCCCCC